Molecule: ribosomal RNA, 521 nt
Filed under: uncultured bacterium
Lineage: Bacteria
Description: bacterial SSU rRNA
Rfam family: Bacterial small subunit ribosomal RNA
Source: RNAcentral
AGAGUUUGAUCCUGGCUUAGGAUGAACGCUAGCUACAGGCUUAACACAUGCAAGUCGAGGGGCAGCAUUGAGAUAGCUUGCUAUUCAGAUGGCGACCGGCGCACGGGUGAGUAACGCGUAUCCAACCUUCCCCUUAGUAGGGGAUAGCCCGGUGAAAAUCGGAUUAAUACCCUAUGUUGUUCGAAGCAGACAUCUAAAUUGAACCAAAGGUUUACCGCUAAGGGAUGGGGAUGCGUCUGAUUAGGUAGUAGGCGGGGUAACGGCCCACCUAGCCGACGAUCAGUAGGGGUUCUGAGAGGAAGGUCCCCCACAUUGGAACUGAGACACGGUCCAAACUCCUACGGGAGGCAGCAGUGAGGAAUAUUGGUCAAUGGGCGCGAGCCUGAACCAGCCAAGUAGCGUGCAAGGACGACGGCCCUAUGGGUUGUAAACUGCUUUUAUACAGGGAUAAAGUCACCUACGUGUAGGUGUUUGCAGGUACCCUAUGAAUAAGCAUCGGCUAACUCCGUGCCAGCAGCCGC